Molecule: transfer RNA, 72 nt
Filed under: Ictidomys tridecemlineatus (thirteen-lined ground squirrel)
Lineage: Eukaryota; Metazoa; Chordata; Mammalia; Rodentia; Sciuridae
Description: Spermophilus tridecemlineatus (thirteen-lined ground squirrel) tRNA
Rfam family: tRNA
About the family: Transfer RNA (tRNA) molecules are approximately 80 nucleotides in length. Their secondary structure includes four short double-helical elements and three loops (D, anti-codon, and T loops). Further hydrogen bonds mediate the characteristic L-shaped molecular structure. tRNAs have two regions of fundamental functional importance: the anti-codon, which is responsible for specific mRNA codon recognition, and the 3' end, to which the tRNAs corresponding amino acid is attached (by aminoacyl-tRNA synthetases). tRNAs cope with the degeneracy of the genetic code in two manners: having more than one tRNA (with a specific anti-codon) for a particular amino acid; and 'wobble' base-pairing, i.e. permitting non-standard base-pairing at the 3rd anti-codon position.
Source: Rfam by way of RNAcentral
UGGGGUGUGGCUCAGCAGCAGAGUGCUUGCCUCUCAUGUGGGAGACACUGGAUUCGAUUCUCAGCACCACAU